AGGGAAUCUUCCACAACGGACGCAAGUCUGAUGGAGCAACGCCGCGUGAGUGAAGAAGGUCUUCGGAUCGUAAAGCUCUGUUGUUGGUGAAGAAGGAUAGAGGCAGUAACUGGUCUUUAUUUGACGGUAAUCAACCAGAAAGUCACGGCUAACUACGUGCCAGCAGCCGCGGUAAUACGUAGGUGGCAAGCGUUGUCCGGAUUUAUUGGGCGUAAAGCGAGCGCAGGCGGAAUGAUAAGUCUGAUGUGAAAGCCCACGGCUCAACCGUGGAACUGCAUCGGAAACUGUCAUUCUUGAGUGCAGAAGAGGAGAGUGGAACUCCAUGUGUAGCGGUGGAAUGCGUAGAUAUAUGGAAGAACACCAGUGGCGAAGGCGGCUCUCUGGUCUGCAACUGACGCUGAGGCUCGAAAGCAUGGGUAGCGAACAGGAUUAGAUACCCUGGUAGUCCAUGCCGUAAACGAUGAGCGCUAGGUGUUGGGGACUUUCCGGUCCUCAGUGCCGCAGCAAACGCAUUAAGCGCUCCGCCUGGGGAGUACGACCGCAAGGUUGAAAC
RNAcentral lists this ribosomal RNA (553 nucleotides) under uncultured bacterium. RNAcentral describes it as "partial 16S ribosomal RNA". It matches the Rfam family "Bacterial small subunit ribosomal RNA", at positions 356 to 900 of the family's 1533-position model. The record is from RNAcentral.